RNAcentral lists this ribosomal RNA (253 nucleotides) under uncultured bacterium. Its description in RNAcentral is "partial 16S ribosomal RNA". It matches the Rfam family "Bacterial small subunit ribosomal RNA", at positions 524 to 776 of the family's 1533-position model. The record is from RNAcentral.
UACGAAGGGGGCUAGCGUUGUUCGGAGUUACUGGGCGUAAAGGGCGCGUAGGCGGCGCGUUAAGUUAGGUGUGAAAGCCCUGGGCUCAACCCAGGAAUAGCACUUGAUACUGACGUGCUUGAAUUCGGGAGAGGAUGACGGAAUUCCCAGUGUAGAGGUGAAAUUCAUUGAUAUUGGGAAGAACACCAGUGGCGAAGGCGGUCAUCUGGCCCGUAAUUGACGCUGAGGCGCGAAAGCGUGGGGAGCAAACAGG